AUUGAACGCUGGCGGCAGGCCUAACACAUGCAAGUCGAACGGUAACAGGAAGAAGCUUGCUUCUUUGCUGACGAGUGGCGGACGGGUGAGUAAUGUCUGGGAAACUGCCUGAUGGAGGGGGAUAACUACUGGAAACGGUAGCUAAUACCGCAUAACGUCGCAAGACCAAAGAGGGGGACCUUCGGGCCUCUUGCCAUCGGAUGUGCCCAGAUGGGAUUAGCUAGUAGGUGGGGUAACGGCUCACCUAGGCGACGAUCCCUAGCUGGUCUGAGAGGAUGACCAGCCACACUGGAACUGAGACACGGUCCAGACUCCUACAGGAGGCAGCAGUGGGGAAUAUUGCACAAUGGGCGCAAGCCUGAUGCAGCCAUGCCGCGGGUAUGAAGAGGGCCUUCGGGUUGUAAAGUACUUUCAGCGGGGAGGAAGGGAGUAAAGUUAAUACCUUUGCUCAUUGACGUUACCCGCAGAAGAAGCACCGGCUAACUCCGUG
Molecule: ribosomal RNA, 490 nt
Filed under: uncultured bacterium
Lineage: Bacteria
Description: partial 16S ribosomal RNA
Rfam family: Bacterial small subunit ribosomal RNA
Source: RNAcentral